GAAACUUGCCUCAAGAUGAGAUCUCACUGGGAACUUGAUUCCCCUGAAGGGCCGUCGAAGACUACGACGUUGAUAGGCUGGGUGUGUAAGCGUUGUGAGGCGUUGAGCUAACCAGUACUAAUUGCCCGUGAGGCUUGACCAUAUAACACCCAAACA
This 156-nucleotide ribosomal RNA is filed under the name Pseudomonas aeruginosa. RNAcentral's name for it is "partial 23S ribosomal RNA". It matches the Rfam family "Bacterial large subunit ribosomal RNA", at positions 2789 to 2925 of the family's 2925-position model. Lineage: Bacteria; Pseudomonadati; Pseudomonadota; Gammaproteobacteria; Pseudomonadales; Pseudomonadaceae. The record is from RNAcentral.